GAGCAGUUAGCUUAAAUGUUAAAGCAACGGAUCCUUUGUCCGUAAGAUUGAGGUUCAAUUCCUUGACUGCUCA
This 73-nucleotide transfer RNA is filed under the name Fructilactobacillus florum 8D. RNAcentral describes it as "Lactobacillus florum 8D tRNA". It matches the Rfam family "tRNA". Rfam says of the family: Transfer RNA (tRNA) molecules are approximately 80 nucleotides in length. Their secondary structure includes four short double-helical elements and three loops (D, anti-codon, and T loops). The record is from Rfam by way of RNAcentral. Lineage: Bacteria; Bacillati; Bacillota; Bacilli; Lactobacillales; Lactobacillaceae.